Molecule: ribosomal RNA, 253 nt
Filed under: uncultured bacterium
Lineage: Bacteria
Description: partial 16S ribosomal RNA
Rfam family: Bacterial small subunit ribosomal RNA
Source: RNAcentral
UACGGAGGGUGCAAGCGUUAUCCGGAUUCACUGGGUUUAAAGGGAGCGUAGGUGGCUUUGUAAGUCAGUGGUGAAAUAUUGCGGCUUAACCGCAAAACUGCCAUUGAUACUGCUUAGCUUGAAUCACGUCGAGGUGGAUGGAAUAAUACAUGUAGCGGUGAAAUGCUUAGAUAUGUAUUAGAACACCGAUUGCGAAGGCAGUUCACUAGGCGUGUAUUGACACUGAGGCGCGAAAGCGUGGGGAGCAAACAGG